Cygnus atratus (black swan) is the source of this 629-nucleotide long non-coding RNA. RefSeq lists it as uncharacterized. The record is from RefSeq and is a predicted model, not a curated record. Lineage: Eukaryota; Metazoa; Chordata; Aves; Anseriformes; Anatidae. The transcript is spliced from 3 exons.
GCUGCAGCUCCCCCGCGCGGAGCCCUCGCUCGGACCGCGCCGGUCCCCGGGGCCCCGAGGCCCGCAGCCCGAGCAGCCCCUGCCCUGCCCGCCGGGGCUCGGUGCCGCACGCGUGUGACGGCGAGCAUCGGUCGUCGGCUUUUCCUUCCGUGCCGCUGAACUUCCAGGAGCCGAGGAUGGCUCGGGCUCACCUUGUUCUCGUGUGACGUGCAGCUGAGCGUUUUCCUUCCCUAGCGUGGUCUCCGUGCGCUGCCGUCGGCGGUUUCCACUUCGGGUUCUCGUUAUUUCUUUUGCAGAUGAAGUCAGCGCUCCCAGCAGGAUCCCUUGAAACGUUCUGGGGCACGGCUGAUACCCGCUUGUCCCCUUGCGAUGGCAAACGCCUGGUCCAGAUUUAGGGAGUCGCCUGUGGUGAGGCUGGACAAGAUCCUGAGCUAACACAGCAGCUGAAGUGGAUGAGAACAUCGAUAGCUCAGAAAGCUGUGAGAGCAUGUGCUGAAGAUGCCAUGACUUUCUGAAGCUGAACUUGUACGGGAACCAGAAUGGGAAGAUCCAGAUGAUGAUCUGCAGCGUCUGUAAGAUAUAAAUGGAGAAAGCAUGCAAAGAAAUAAGUUGAAAUCAAUUUUAACAUC